RNAcentral lists this ribosomal RNA (2696 nucleotides) under Campylobacter coli. RNAcentral describes it as "partial 23S ribosomal RNA". It matches the Rfam family "Bacterial large subunit ribosomal RNA", at positions 1 to 2552 of the family's 2925-position model. Lineage: Bacteria; Pseudomonadati; Campylobacterota; Epsilonproteobacteria; Campylobacterales; Campylobacteraceae. The record is from RNAcentral.
AGGUAAGCUACUAAGAGCGAAUGGUGGAUGCCUUGACUGGUAAAGGCGAUGAAGGACGUACUAGACUGCGAUAAGCUACGGGGAGCUGUCAAGAAGCUUUGAUCCGUAGAUUUCCGAAUGGGGCAACCCAAUGUAUAGAGAUAUACAUUACCUAUAUAGGAGCGAACGAGGGGAAUUGAAACAUCUUAGUACCCUCAGGAAAAGAAAUCAAUAGAGAUUGCGUCAGUAGCGGCGAGCGAAAGCGCAAGAGGGCAAACCCAGUGCUUGCACUGGGGGUUGUAGGACUGCAAUGUGCAAGAGGUGAGUUUAGCAGAACAUUCUGGAAAGUAUAGCCAUAGAGGGUGAUAGUCCCGUAUGCGAAAAACAAACCUUAGCUAGCAGUAUCCUGAGUAGGGCGGGACACGAGAAAUCCUGUCUGAAGCUGGGUCGACCACGAUCCAACCCUAAAUACUAAUACCAGAUCGAUAGUGCACAAGUACCGUGAGGGAAAGGUGAAAAGAACUGAGGUGAUCAGAGUGAAAUAGAACCUGAAACCAUUUGCUUACAAUCAUUCAGAGCCCUAUGUAGCAAUACAGGGUGAUGGACUGCCUUUUGCAUAAUGAGCCUGCGAGUUGUGGUGUCUGGCAAGGUUAAGCAAACGCGAAGCCGUAGCGAAAGCGAGUCUGAAUAGGGCGCUUAGUCAGAUGCUGCAGACCCGAAACGAAGUGAUCUAUCCAUGAGCAAGUUGAAGCUAGUGUAAGAACUAGUGGAGGACUGAACCCAUAGGCGUUGAAAAGCCCCGGGAUGACUUGUGGAUAGGGGUGAAAGGCCAAUCAAACUUCGUGAUAGCUGGUUCUCUCCGAAAUAUAUUUAGGUAUAGCGUUGUGUCGUAAUAUAAGGGGGUAGAGCACUGAAUGGGCUAGGGCAUACACCAAUGUACCAAACCCUAUCAAACUCCGAAUACCUUAUAUGUAAUCACAGCAGUCAGGCGGCGAGUGAUAAAAUCCGUCGUCAAGAGGGAAACAACCCAGACUACCAGCUAAGGUCCCUAAAUCUUACUUAAGUGGAAAACGAUGUGAAGUUACUUAAACAACCAGGAGGUUGGCUUAGAAGCAGCCAUCCUUUAAAGAAAGCGUAAUAGCUCACUGGUCUAGUGAUUUUGCGCGGAAAAUAUAACGGGGCUAAAGUAAGUACCGAAGCUGUAGACUUGCGCACAACUUAGAUUAUUUAAGUUUAGAAUAUGAGAAACUAAGUUAUAUGUUUAGUUAUAUUUUUACUGAUUUUUAUAGAGUAAAGAUAGAAAUAAAACUUAGUAAAAUCAGUAAAAAUAUUCUUAGACUAAAGUUAAGUAGUUUAAGUUGUGUGCAAGUGGUAGGAGAGCGUUCUAUUUGCGUCGAAGGUAUACCGGUAAGGAGUGCUGGAGCGAAUAGAAGUGAGCAUGCAGGCAUGAGUAGCGAUAAUUAAUGUGAGAAUCAUUAACGCCGUAAACCCAAGGUUUCCUACGCGAUGCUCGUCAUCGUAGGGUUAGUCGGGUCCUAAGUCGAGUCCGAAAGGGGUAGACGAUGGCAAAUUGGUUAAUAUUCCAAUACCAACAUUAGUGUGCGAUGGAAGGACGCUUAGGGCUAAGGGGGCUAGCGGAUGGAAGUGCUAGUCUAAGGUCGUAGGAGGUUAUACAGGCAAAUCCGUAUAACAAUACUCCGAGAACUGAAAGGCUUUUUGAAGUCUUCGGAUGGAUAGAAGAACCCCUGAUGCCGUCGAGCCAAGAAAAGUUUCUAAGUUUAGCUAAUGUUGCCCGUACCGUAAACCGACACAGGUGGGUGGGAUGAGUAUUCUAAGGCGCGUGGAAGAACUCUCUUUAAGGAACUCUGCAAAAUAGCACCGUAUCUUCGGUAUAAGGUGUGGUUCGCUUCGUAUUAGGAUUUACUCCGAAAGCGAAGAAACUUACAACAAAGAGUCCCUCCCGACUGUUUACCAAAAACACAGCACUCUGCUAACUCGUAAGAGGAUGUAUAGGGUGUGACGCCUGCCCGGUGCUCGAAGGUUAAUUGAUGGGGUUAGCAUUAGCGAAGCUCUUGAUCGAAGCCCGAGUAAACGGCGGCCGUAACUAUAACGGUCCUAAGGUAGCGAAAUUCCUUGUCGGUUAAAUACCGACCUGCAUGAAUGGCGUAACGAGAUGGGAGCUGUCUCAAAGAGGGAUCCAGUGAAAUUGUAGUGGAGGUGAAAAUUCCUCCUACCCGCGGCAAGACGGAAAGACCCCGUGGACCUUUACUACAGCUUGACACUGCUAUUUGGAUAAGAAUGUGCAGGAUAGGUGGGAGGCUUUGAGUAUAUGACGCCAGUUGUAUAUGAGCCAUUGUUGAGAUACCACUCUUUCUUAUUUGGGUAGCUAACCAGCUUGAGUUAUCCUCAAGUGGGACAAUGUCUGGUGGGUAGUUUGACUGGGGCGGUCGCCUCCCAAAUAAUAACGGAGGCUUACAAAGGUUGGCUCAGAACGGUUGGAAAUCGUUCGUAGAGUAUAAAGGUAUAAGCCAGCUUAACUGCAAGACAUACAAGUCAAGCAGAGACGAAAGUCGGUCUUAGUGAUCCGGUGGUUCUGUGUGGAAGGGCCAUCGCUCAAAGGAUAAAAGGUACCCCGGGGAUAACAGGCUGAUCUCCCCCAAGAGCUCACAUCGACGGGGAGGUUUGGCACCUCGAUGUCGGCUCAUCGCAUCCUGGGG